Molecule: long non-coding RNA, 2896 nt
Filed under: Homo sapiens (human)
Lineage: Eukaryota; Metazoa; Chordata; Mammalia; Primates; Hominidae
Description: non-protein coding lnc-UNC93B1-4:1
Source: RNAcentral
AGCAUAAAGCGAGGCAAGGUCCAGCUAUUCCACCCGGCAUACAAGCUUAUGGAGCAGCCCCCUUUGAAGAUCUCCAGGUGGACUUCACAGAGAUGUCAAAGUGUAGAGAUGAUCGAGUGUGGAUCAAGGACUGGAAAGUUGCCUGUUUGUGUCCACGGUGGAAAGGACCCCAGAUUGUCGUCCUGAGCACUCCCACCGCUGUGAAGGUGGAAGGAAUCCCAGCCUGGAUCCAACACAGCCAUAUAAAACCUGCAGCGCCUGAAACCUGGGAGGCAAGACCAAGCCCAGAUAACCCUUGCAGAGUGACCCUGAAGAAGAUGACAAGCCCUGCUCCAGUCACCCGGAAGCUGACUAGUCCAAGCACGGCCGAAGCCUGAGGAAGCUCAUCAUGAGAUUCAUUUUUCUUAAAUUUUGGACUUAUACAGUAAGGGCUUCAACUGACCUUACUCAAACUGGGGACUGUUCCCAGUGUAUUCAUCAGGUCACCGAAGCAGGACAGCAAAUUAAAACAAUCUUUCUGUUCUAUAGUUAUUAUGAAUGUAUGGAAACAAUAAGAGAAACUUGUUUGUAUAAUGCCACUCAGUACAAGGUAUGUAGCCCGAGAAAUGACCGACCUGAUGUGUGUUAUAACCCAUCUGAGCCCCCUGCACCACCGUUUUUGAAAUAAGAAUAAGAACUGGCCUUUUCCUAGGUGAUACAAGUAAAAUAAUAACUAGAACAGAAGAAAAAGAAAUCCCCAAGCAAAUAACUUUAAGAUUUGAUGCUUGUGCAGCCAUUAAUAGUAAAAAGCUAGAAAUAGGAUGUGGUUCUCUUAACUGAGAAAGGAGCUAAAGAGUAGAAAUAAAUGUUUGUCAUGAGUCAGGGGUUUGUAAAAAUUGUGCCUAUUGGCCAUGUGUUAUUUAGGCUACUUUAAAAAAGAACAAAAAGGACCCGGUUUAUCUUCAGAAGGGGGAAGCCAACCCCUCCUGUGCUGCCGGUCACUGUAACCCACUAGAACUAAUAAUUACCAAUCCCCUAGAUCCCCAUUGGAAAAAGGGAGAACGUGUAACCCUGGGGAUCAAUAGGACAGGGUUAAACCCUCAAGUUGUCAUUUUAAUUAGAGGGGAGGUCCACAAGUGCUCUCCCAAACCAGUAUUUCAAACCUUUUAUGAGGAGCUGAAUCUGCCAGCACCAGAACUUCUGAAAAAGACAAAAAAUUUGUUUCUCCAAUUAGCAGAAAAUGUAAUUUUCUUACUUAAUGUUACUUCUUGUUAUGUACGCGGAGGAACCACUAUCGGAGACAGAUGGCCUUGGGAAGCCCGAGAGUUGGUGCCUACUGAUCCAGCUCCUGAUAUAAUUCCAGUUUAGAAGGCCGAAGCUAGCAACUUCUAGGUCCUAAAAACCUCAAUUAUUAGACAAUACUGUAUAGCUAGAGAAGGGAAAGACUUUAUCAUCCCUGUAGGAAAGCCUAAUUGUAUAGGACAGAAGUUGUAUAACAGCACAACAAAGACAAUUACUUAGUAGGACCUAAACCACACUGAAAAGAAUCCAUUUAGUAAAUUUUCUAAAUUAAAAACUGCUUAGGCUCAUCCAGAAUCUCAUCAGGACUGGACAGUUCCCUCUGGACUAUACUAGAUAUGUAGGCACAGAGCCUACUUUCGGUUACCUAAUAAAUGGGCAGACAGUUGUGUUAUUGGCACUAUUAAGCCAUCCUUUUUCUUAUUACCCAUAAAAAUGGGUGAGCUGCUAGGUUUCUCUGUCUACGCCUCCCGAGAAAAGAAAGGCAUAGUUAUAGGAAACUGGAAAGAUAAUGAGUGGCCCCGUGAAAGGAUCAUUCAGUAUUAUGGGCCUGCCACAUGGGCACAAGAUGGCUCAUGGGGAUACCGAACCCAUCUACAUGCUCAAUUGGAUCAUACGGUUGCAGGUCAUCUUAGAAAUAAUUUCUAAUGAAACUGGCAGAGCUUUGACUGUUUUAGCUUGGCAAGAAACCCAAAUGAGGAAUGCUAUCUAUCAGAAUAGACUGGCCUUAGACUACUUGCUAGUAGCUGAAGGAGGAGUUUGUAGAAAAUUUAACUUAACCAAUUGCUGCCUACAAAUAAAUGAUCAAGGACAGGUGGUUAAAAACAUAGUCAGGGACAUGACAAAGGUGGCACAUGUGCCUGUACAGGUUUGGCACGAGUUUAAUCCUGAGUCUUUAUUUGAAAAAUGGUUUCCAGCUAUAAGAGGAUUUAAAACCCUCAUUGUAGGUGUAUUGCUAGUGAUAGGAACUUGCUUGCUGCUCCCCUGUGUAUUACCCUUGCUUUUUCAAAUGAUCAAAGGUUUUGUAGCUACUUUGGUUCAUCAGAAAACUUCAGCACACGUGUGUUAUAUAAAUCACUAUCGCUCUAUCUCACAAAUAGACUCAAAAAGUAAAGAUGAGAGUGAGAACUCCCACUAAAAAGUGAAAAUGCUCAAAGGGGGGAAAUAUGGUAUGAGACCACCACUUCUCCUGUUGUCCUUCCCAGUUUCUCCCCAACCUCCCCUUUUCCCUAGUUUGUAAGACAGCAAAAAAGGGAGAAAGCAAAAAGUUGGAAAAAACAGAAGUAAAAUAAAUAGCUAGACGACCUUGGCGCCACCACCUGGCCCCGGUGGUUAAAACAACAAUAAUAUUAACCCCUGACCAAAACUACCUGUGUUAUCUGUAAAUCCCAGACAUUGUAUGAGAAAGCACUGUAAAAACUUUUUGUUCUGUUAGCUGAUGUUUGUAGCCCCCAGUCACGUUCCUCAGGCUUACUUGAUCUAUUAUGACUUUUUCACGUAGACCCUUUAGAGUUGUAAGCCCUUAAAAGGGCUAGGAAUUUCUUUUUCCGGGAGCUCGGCUCUUAAGACACCAGUCUGCCAACGCUCCUGGCUGAAUAAAAAAACCUCUUCCUUCUUU